This 351-nucleotide ribosomal RNA is filed under the name uncultured fungus. RNAcentral's name for it is "SSU rRNA". It matches the Rfam family "Eukaryotic small subunit ribosomal RNA", at positions 1326 to 1698 of the family's 1831-position model. The record is from RNAcentral. Lineage: Eukaryota; Fungi.
CGACAACGAACGAGACCUUAACCUGCUAAAUAGUUAGGCCAACGUUUGUUGGUCGUCAACUUCUUAGAGGGACUAUUGACUAUUAGUCAAUGGAAGUUUGAGGCAAUAACAGGUCUGUGAUGCCCUUAGAUGUUCUGGGCCGCACGCGCGCUACACUGAUCAAGUCAACGAGUUUACAACCUUGGCCGGAAGGUCUGGGCAAUCUUUUGAAACUUGAUCGUGCUGGGGAUAGUCCAUUGCAAUUAUUGGACUUCAACGAGGAAUUCCUAGUAAGCGUGAGUCAUCAGCUCGCGUUGAUUACGUCCCUGCCCUUUGUACACACCGCCCGUCGCUACUACCGAUUGAAUGGCU